UACGGAGGAUCCAAGCAUUAUCCGGAAUUAUUGGGCGUAAAGGGCUCGUAGGCGGUUUGUCGCGUCGGGAGUGAAAACUCAGGGCUCAACCCUGAGCGUGCUUCCGAUACGGGCAGACUAGAGGUAUGCAGGGGAGAACGGAAUUCCUGGUGUAGCGGUGGAAUGCGCAGAUAUCAGGAGGAACACCGGUGGGGAAGGCGGUUCUCUGGGCAUUACCUGACGCUGAGGAGCGAAAGCAUGGGUAGCGGACCGG
This 253-nucleotide unclassified non-coding RNA is filed under the name uncultured Nocardioidaceae bacterium. RNAcentral describes it as "contains 16S-23S intergenic spacer region". It matches the Rfam family "Bacterial small subunit ribosomal RNA", at positions 524 to 776 of the family's 1533-position model. The record is from RNAcentral. Lineage: Bacteria; Bacillati; Actinomycetota; Actinomycetes; Propionibacteriales; Nocardioidaceae.